This is a long non-coding RNA of Drosophila navojoa, 103 nucleotides long. Lineage: Eukaryota; Metazoa; Arthropoda; Insecta; Diptera; Drosophilidae. The record is from RefSeq and is a predicted model, not a curated record.
GUUUAGUCAUACUCAGAAAGUAGAUGCGGCAGAGCUGUAGUUUGCGUGGGUUUGGUGCCUUCGAUAUGUCCAUUGUGUAUGCUAAAUAAUGUCUCGUUGGGUU